This 306-nucleotide ribosomal RNA is filed under the name uncultured Clostridium sp. RNAcentral's name for it is "bacterial SSU rRNA". It matches the Rfam family "Bacterial small subunit ribosomal RNA", at positions 355 to 678 of the family's 1533-position model. The record is from RNAcentral. Lineage: Bacteria; Bacillati; Bacillota; Clostridia; Eubacteriales; Clostridiaceae.
CUAAGAAUAUUCCGCAAUGGGGGAAACCCUGAUGCAGCGACGCCGCGUGAGUGAAGAAGUAUUUCGGUAUGUAAAGCUCUAUCAGCAGGGAAGAAAAUGACGGUACCUGACUAAGAAGCCCCGGCUAACUACGUGCCAGCAGCCGCGGUAAUACGUAGGGGGCAAGCGUUAUCCGGAUUUACUGGGUGUAAAGGGAGCGUAGACGGUAAAGCAAGUCUGAAGUGAAAGCCCGGGGCUCAACCCCGGGACUGCUUUGGAAACUGUUUAACUAGAGUGCUGGAGAGGUAAGCGGAAUUCCUAGUGUAG